AAGAAACAAGUCACAAGUCCCUAAAUCACAUUCAAUUUGCAACUAGAAAAUCGAGUAUAUUAAUAUAUAGAUGAUAUUUCUUUUCAUAAAAUAUUACCAAAAAUGAUCAACAUCAGUUAGUUGCACAUUAUAUCAAUGAUGUAAGCUAGUCACAAUAUAGUGUUCAUAAACAUUUAGCAAAAAACUACAUAUCACUAAUAUCCCUCAAUUGUAACGUAAAAUUUUCUUGACAUUCCCAGCAAAAAGAUGGUUCAAUCUAUGUGUCGUUAAAAAUCUGCUUCUUGUAAACUUCAAUAUCCAAAACCUGUAGAAGAAAUAAGAAAUUUUAGUUAGAAAAAUUGUAACUGUGUGGACGGAACAAAAUCAGGGCUAGAUGGAGAAAAAAAGAAGCAACAAAAAAUUAUUUGCUAGCCACCAUUGUUCCCUUUCAUCACUUGAAAAAGUUGUCUUAAUUUAUAUAUAGGGACAAAGAAUUGAGACAAAUAGUUUAAAUUAAUGCAGCAAAUUACAGUUUGUUAUUUGUUCUGCUCUUAGCAAAAGGCUCCCAUUCAAAUGAACCAAAUAUCUAGCUAUUUCCUAUACUAAAUGACAGAAGAUAUGAAUUACUCAUGAAGAAUAAGGACAAUUUGUUUGAAUUUUUCAGUUAAGGCCCUGCAAUAUCAUCAAUUAAAUUUCUUAUUAUUUAUUGGUCAAAGAGGUCCAAACAAAACUUAUACCUUCACAAUUCCAUUCACAUGUUUGCUAAGGUUUACCAUGCUAGGAGUAUUAGAAAUGGGCAGAGUGUUGCCAUCAAAGUCAUAGAUAAGGAAAAGUUCUAAGGGUUGGACUUGUGAAUCAGAUCAAACAAAAUAUAUCUGUUAUGAGACUAGUUAGACAUCCUAAUAUCGUGCACCUUUACGAAGUCAUGGCCAAGAAAAUCAAGAUUUAUUUCGGGAUGGAGUAUGAUAAAGGAGGUGAACUCUUUAACAAGGUAGCGAAAGGAAACAUUAAAGAGGACGUUGCACAAAGUUAUUUUCAACCGUUGAUAAAUGUUGUAGAUUUUUUGCCAUAGCAGGGGUGUCUAUCACUGGGAUUUGAAACUGAAAACUUACUGUUAAACGACGAUGAAAACUUAAAAAUUUCAAAUUUUGGUUUAAGUGCUCUUGUCGAGUCAAAGCACUAAGACAGACUCUUACACACUACGUGCAGGACUCCAACCUAUGUUUCUCCGGAGGUGCUCAAUAGAAAAGGCAACGAUGGUGCAAAAACUGAUAUUUGGUCAUGUGGGGUUGCCCUAUUCGUGUUGUUGGCUGGUUAUCUUCCAUUUAAGGACUCAAAUUUAAUAUAAAUGUAUAGGAACAUGAGGUGUUGAGAAAGGACCGGAAAUAGGUCUAACUGGGAGUGCUAAAACAGGCUGCCCUGGCCCAUAUAGAGGUGCUGAUGUUGGAGGUGGCCUCCCUGCAUCAUUAGGCAUACCAGGCUACAUCGGUCUAAAAGUAGAGAUCCCUGAUCCAACCAUGGGGCCAGAUGAAGAUGGAGAUGACAUAGCUGGAAAAGAAGUAGGGUGAGCAUGCCGAAAAACAGAAACGUCAGAUCGAACUACUAGAACAGAUUAUUGAAAAGGACUUGCAUUCUAUGGAGCACCAAAAUGUGUAGUAGCAUGCAUUUAGGGAAAGGUUGGUCGAUUGGGAUAUUUGGUGCCCAUGGUCACAAAGGAUCACUUCCUGAUGUUUUUCCACCAAAACAAACAAAAAGACAUGUCAUUAUUAUAUUAGCACAAAAAAGCAAUGCCAGACUUAUACAUCAGCCGAGAAUAGUAAGAAAACAAAAUAUUUGCAGAGUUAAAGUACAAUGCAAAAAUGCAAAAGGGAAAAAGGCAAAAAGGAAAGAUAAAGACAAAGGAUAAAAAAAAUAGCUCUGUCUAAGUAGAUAAAUACUUCAUCGAAAGCUAUUAUCAUUUUGUCAAUGAGCAGUCCGACGAGUUUGAUAGCAGAUAAGGAAUAGUUCGGAGAAAGAGGGAUAGGGCAAAGGGAAAUUUCAGUUGCAUUUCCUUUUAAUGCAAAGAUGCGAAGGUGUACUUAUAGAUUGAAUUGCCGAUAAGCUUUCCUUACAUGUACCGGUUUUUUAAUUUUAAUGAAUUUAUUUACACUCUGUAUAAAAAUUAAAUGGCUAGGAUCUAGCUUCAGCAAAUACAGAGGAAAAGCAAAAAGUGGCUAGGAUUCCAAACUUGAAUACAUUUGAUAUCAUUUCCCUUUAUGAUAAGUAUGAUUUAUCCAAAUUAUUUGAGGAACUUUUUUUAAAGAAUGAAGCUAAAUUCAUAUCCUGGAAACCAGCGGCCGGCAUCAUGUCCAAGCCGAAAGAUACUGCUAAACGCCUUAAACUAAAUGAAAGCCUAAGACCAAUUCUUCAGGAUAUUGUUUGGACAUGGCAAGAAGAAUAACAACCUCAGCAAUCAAAAAAUCAAUAUGUAACCAACCCCUAACAAGCAGCGCACAAGAUUUCAAACUAGAGAUGAACCUAGAAGUUGUAGAUAUUUUACCUUGUAUGUGCUUCUUUUAAGCAUUCAUCGUCCAUUAAAUAUUAUUACCGAUAUCCUCAACAACAUAUUUGUAUCAAUACAUUAUUAUCACUUUCAGCAACUAGCGUCUCCGGUAUGGGUUAUCAAACUUCAACCACUAGCGUACAUUAAGAAAUUAGUAAUAAGACAAAUAACUAUGCACAACCAGCAAAUUCAGAAUCAACAGAAGAUAUAAAUUCCACAAAGGAUAUUUAAUAACAUACACUUAAAUCAACCAAAAUAAAUUGAUGUUUCGUGUAAGUUGCUACUCACUUGUUAUCAUCAAAGAUCUGAAUAGUUAUUCUCCUGAAAGGCUGAAAAUUAGUUUGUUGCACUAAUAAUAAUUCUUUUAAUUGCCUCACUUCUUUUAAUUUCACCCCAAUUAAAUAGGUUUCGUCAAGUCAGUUAUCAACAAGUUGCAUCAAUUGCUUAUUUGGUGCCAUAACCUUGGAUAGUAAAUAAAAAAAAGGUUUAAAUAAUUAAGAUAACAAAAUUAUUAAGAUGCACAUUACUUAAAAAAAGUACUAAGAUGCACAUUACUCAUUAUCAAACUUGUCAAACUCAUAUUUAUGACUAAACUUCUUAUGAUUUCACAAGAAUGAGAUAAACUAUAAGUUGAUAUGCAUAACAUAUAACACACAAUUGCUCAAGAAAAUGAGAAAUUAAAACACAUAAGAAACUUCAUAGUUAAAUCACUGAUUUUCUUUCUUAAAGGUUAGAUGCAUAGAAAGCAUUUGGUUGAGCUCCAGAAAACUGGUGGUGACACAUUAGAGUUUUACAAGACAUGUUCUUGUUUAAAUUCCUAGAAUAAUUAUGACAUUGUGUAUCAUGAACUCUCCAACAAUUAUUGGAAGACCAUAGUGACGUAACAGAUUCUUGGACCUUAAAAAUGGCAGUUCUACAAGAACUUCUCUUCGGUAAAAGAUAUCGUCUGGACAUCUAGAAAAAGCCUCUGAAAAAAAAAAUUCUUGUAAUCAACACAAUUCUGUUAUGGGUAAUAGAAACUAUUGACUUUUCACUCUACUGAAGGUCAGCAAAUUGCUACUGGGAUCGAGGAGAUUACAUGGGAUUUAACUUUGACUAAUGAUAGACAAAAAGAAGUCGAUGAUAAGGUAGCUUCAGGUGAUCGAAUAACUAUGCAAGAGGAUGGUUUGAAUCGAGCAAACAAUGGUAGUAAGCAGCAAGGAGUUACACUGGUGGCUCAAGAAGGUAACAGUGAUCGAGCUACUAUCGAUCGAGUGGAGCAUGUUGUAAUGCCUGAAGCUAUGGUUGCUAUCAGUGGUGACAUUAUUGCUUCUUCAGGUCAAGUUGAAGCUCGGAAAAAUAUUGAGGGUGUAGGUGUGGAGCAGGUCAAGAAAAAACCAACUAGAGAGGAUAUGAGGUUGAAGGAUAUUCUUGCUGGUACGAUUUUCGCGAGGAUGUACACAGCUACUGCUGGUGCAUUGAAGGUUGUUGCUGAUCGAGCUAAUACCUCAAACAAACCUGAUAUGGUUCAACUGGUUGGGGCAUCUGUAAUGUGAAGGAGUUACAAGAUCAUCAGUUGGUGAAAAAAGUAGUAGCGUUUGUGAAGUCUCAAAAUCAAAGUCCUACUGCUGCGAUGAAGUUUUCAAAGGAUGGGAGUUCAAGUUUAAAGCUUGUUAAUGCUGUGAAUACAACUGGCGUGGCUGUUUUAUAUGGUUCACUUGCUACGGGUGAUGGGGCAGAUGUUCAACAAGUUCAAAAACCAGUAGUUGAUGCAACAGGAAAGGGAAAAAUCUGGACAUGAAAGCGUUCAAGUUACUGCAAAUUCCAAUAGCAAUUCUGAUGGGAAUAUUUGUGCACCUAUAGCUAGAUUGAAUGCCUAUAAAUUGGUCAAUAAUGAGAAGAAAAAUAUGGUGGAAGGUUGGACCACAGUAGCUUGCAAAAAGACUGUUACAACACAAACUAUAGUGUGUGUACAUGUAAUUGUUUUGCAGAAUUUUUUUUUAUUUUCCUAUAUUGUCAGCUUUAUUCGAACCAAAAGUUAAUAGGGACAUCAUCUCUUGAUCACUCAUAAAUAUUCUCCUAUAUAAGCUUGGUUGGACUAAACAACAUCGUAUAAGACAAAAGUUUACAAGUAAUGUAUGUUAUGUGUUUAAAAAGCAGGAACAUGAGCUCAAGAGACUUGAAGGUCGUAGAAUUGGGGAAAAAAAGAGAGAAAGGAAAUGAAAUCACAAAGAAUCAAAAAAAUGCUGACAACAAUGUACAAUGGAGUUGGCUCUAAGAAGAGUCAAGUUAAAUCAAUUGCAUACGAACGCAACAUAAUAUAUCAAUAUGUUACAUUGCUAAUUUACAUCAUUGUUUCUCUUCAUCUAAUUUUUAAAAAUAUUAAAUUUGGGUAAUAAGUUGACUAUACAAUUUAAAGAACCCAUAAAAAUUAUUGUAAAGAAACUGCACUAGAACACAUAAUGAUAAAAAAAAUCAACCAAUUAAUCACCUCAUAUGAAAAACCACAAGACAUCCUACAAAGUUUUCAUCAUAGAGAUAGAAAGAUGCAAAGAAGUGAAAGGAUUCAUAACCAGAAGUGCGCCUCCAUUAUGACUAUAAGCCUCUGUUAAUCUUUUGAUUCUUCGCCCAAGUCUCGGCUUCAUUUUUUAACUUUUUCUUCUUUAAUUUUCUUGUAUACAUACACACACACCGUCUCUUUUUGUGUUUUUGACUGCUUUGGAAUCUUAGAUCAUUAAGUUAUGCAAUGUGAUUCACUCCAUUUUUGCUAGAUUUUAUCUCAAAGCAUUUGAAUUCCAACUAAAGUCUCCAUCUUUUUAUUUAAAUUGCAGGUUUUAUUUAUUGAAUAAGCCCAUAACUAUGGAGUUAGGGGAUAACAAGAUUUUUGAAGGUAGGGCUGCUGCUAGCAGCGACCCUACUGGAAGCCAAACUCAUGACCCUUCAAGCAAGUCCUCGGAAGAAUUAUAUAACGCAAAUCUCAAAGGAGAAAACCAUCACAGAGACGAAACUCUACAAGAAAAACUCAAAUUUCUCCUCCUUGACCUACGAGCCCCAUCUUUAAACCAAUAUUCUCAUUUUUAUCACUCACACAAUAACUAUCACUAUUCUAAACAACCCAAUUGCAUAAAACAACUAAAGAAACAAAAAAUUGCAGAACCCGAUUUUUGAUUUCUGGUUCAAUCGAAAAAAAAAACAAGAAGAAGAAAAAAGAAAACGAAACAGGUAAAAGAGAAAGAAAUUAAACUUACUCUUGAUUAGGCAGAUAAUCCAAUGGUAGAGUUUGUGUAAAGUAUCGAAAUUUGACCCCAACCUUCUGAGUUUGAGGUGAUGAAUUUUGCAACCUUUUGAGUUCUGACUGAUGAAGUUUGCAACCUUCUGAACUUUGAAUAGAAUUGAAGUCGCCGCUUAAUUAGGGAUUGUAGCGUGAAAGUAAUUUUUUGGGAGAUAUUUUAGAGUGAAAGUGAAUUUUUGGAGUGAUUUUACAGUAAAAAUAGAUUUUUGGGGUUUUUUUUUUUUACUUUACUUUCAUAUUCCCGUCUCUAUCCCGCUAAAAUCGAGUAUUAGAGGCCAGGUAUUAAAUUUUUUUAGACCAGAAUAAGUCUAGUCGUGUAUUUAGAAAACAAAUUGGGUAUUAGAGACCCCAAAAAAAU
RNAcentral lists this long non-coding RNA (6150 nucleotides) under Nicotiana tabacum (common tobacco). RNAcentral describes it as "long non-coding RNA (NTAB_LNC018382)". The record is from RNAcentral. Lineage: Eukaryota; Viridiplantae; Streptophyta; Magnoliopsida; Solanales; Solanaceae.